UGGUGUGGAAGGAUUGCUAUGGUUUUUGUGUGUCUUGUCGCAUGCAUGCGUUCAUAGCGCAUGUUAGCGAUUAUUCAUAUCAAAGAUUGAGGAAAGUCCCCCCACGGAUGCAGAGAUGCAUUUAAUCCCAGAAAACUAGGGCGCCGGGAGGCGCGGCAACGUAUUAGAAACGAUACAGAAGGCAGUUAAGGAUGAAUGUUUAUGACGUUUCUGCCAUUCUGAUGAAACGUAACGUCCAUGCGUGCAAGUCGAACGACGCGCGCGAAGCAAUUCGCGUCCUCAGAAAGUCUUGAAACCUUGCGAAAGUGAGUGUUUCAAGCUUUUCAACCCAUGGUUGAAAAUGAGGGAGUCUAAUGCGAUAAAAUCUAUCAGCACCGGCAAUUGCGCCGGAUGUAAAGACGGAUUGAACAAAAGGGGGCUUACUCUCCACACCA
RNAcentral lists this RNase P RNA (434 nucleotides) under archaeon. RNAcentral describes it as "RNase P RNA component". It matches the Rfam family "Archaeal RNase P". From Rfam's summary of the family: Ribonuclease P (RNase P) is a ubiquitous endoribonuclease, found in archaea, bacteria and eukarya as well as chloroplasts and mitochondria. Its best characterised activity is the generation of mature 5'-ends of tRNAs by cleaving the 5'-leader elements of precursor-tRNAs. Cellular RNase Ps are ribonucleoproteins. The record is from RNAcentral. RNAcentral also lists the same sequence under 1 other name.